GAUGAACGCUGGCGGCGUGCCUAAUACAUGCAAGUCGAGCGAACGGACGAGAAGCUUGCUUCUCUGAUGUUAGCGGCGGACGGGUGAGUAACACGUGGAUAACCUACCUAUAAGACUGGGAUAACUUCGGGAAACCGGAGCUAAUACCGGAUGAUAUUUUGAACCGCAUGGUUCAAAAGUGAAAGACGGUCUUGCUGUCACUUAUAGAUGGAUCCGCGCUGCAUUAGCUAGUUGGUAAGGUAACGGCUUACCAAGGAAACGAUGCAUAGCCGACCUGAGAGGGUGAUCGGCCACACUGGAACUGAGACACGGUCCAGACUCCUACGGGAGGCAGCAGUAGGGAAUCUUCCGCAAUGGGCGAAAGCCUGACGGGGCAACGCCGCGUGAGUGAUGAAGGUCUUCGGAUCGUAAAACUCUGUUAUUAGGGAAGAACAUAUGUGUAAGUAACUGUGCACAUCUUGACGGUACCUAAUCAGAAAGCCACGGCUAACUACGUG
Molecule: ribosomal RNA, 497 nt
Filed under: uncultured bacterium
Lineage: Bacteria
Description: partial 16S ribosomal RNA
Rfam family: Bacterial small subunit ribosomal RNA
Source: RNAcentral